CAAUAGCGUAUAUCUAAGUUGCUGCAGUUAAAAAGCUCGUAGUUGGAUUUCGGGUGGGAAUGGCCGGUCCGCCGUUUCGGUGUGCACUUGCUACGCCCACCUUGCUGCCGGGGACGUGCUCUUGAGUUCACGCUCGGGACACGGAGUCGGCGAGGUUACUUUGAGUAAAUUAGAGUGUUCAAAGCAGGCCUACGCUCUGAAUACAUUAGCAUGGAAUAACACGAUAGGACUCUGGCCUAUCUUGUUGGUCUGUAGGACCGGAGUAAUGAUUAAGAGGGACAGUCGGGGGCAUUCGUAUUUCAUUGUCAGAGGUGAAAUUCUUGGAUUUAUGAAAGACGAACUACUGCGAAAGCAUUUGCCAAGGAUGUUUUCAUUAA
Molecule: ribosomal RNA, 377 nt
Filed under: uncultured eukaryote
Lineage: Eukaryota
Description: partial 18S ribosomal RNA
Rfam family: Eukaryotic small subunit ribosomal RNA
Source: RNAcentral